Molecule: ribosomal RNA, 422 nt
Filed under: uncultured bacterium
Lineage: Bacteria
Description: bacterial SSU rRNA
Rfam family: Bacterial small subunit ribosomal RNA
Source: RNAcentral
UAUNCGUCAAUGGGGGAAACCCUGAACGAGCNAUGCCGCGUGAGUGAUGGCGGUCCUCUGGGUUGUAAAACUCUGUUGUUUAGGAAAAACUGUAUAAACAGGAAAUGGUUUAUGCUUGAUGGUACUAUUCAAGAGAGCCACGGCUAACUACGUGCCAGCAGCCGCGGUAAUACGUAGGUGGCGAGCGUUAUCCGGAUUUAUUGGGCGUAAAGCGUCCGCGGACGGCUUGUUAAGUCUAGAAUCAAAGCCCGGAGCUUAACUUCGGUUCGUUCUAGAAACUGGCAGGCUUGAGUAUAGUAGAGGCAAGUGGAAUUUCUAGUGUAGCGGUAGAAUGCGUAGAUAUUAGAAGGAACACCAGUGGCGAAGGCGACUUGCUAGGCUAUUACUGACGUUCAUGGACGAAAGCGUGGGGAGCAAAUAGG